RNAcentral lists this long non-coding RNA (1969 nucleotides) under Sus scrofa (pig). RNAcentral's name for it is "lncRNA (ENSSSCG00040039348.1)". Lineage: Eukaryota; Metazoa; Chordata; Mammalia; Artiodactyla; Suidae. The record is from RNAcentral.
GCGGGCCCCCCGAAGCUCUGUCCACCAGGCCGAGACUGCUGACUCAGGCCAGCCACAGAGGGGACAGCACACAUCCUCGGCCAAGUCAAGCGUUCGAGAGAAUGGAUGACCUGAUUCCUUAUGCAACCGGAAAAGGGCAUGGAAGCAGCAGCAGAAACAUGGAUCGCCCUCCCACCCCCUACCUGGUUUCAUUUGGAGUUUUGUACUGGGUGCUACCAGCCCGCUCCUAGUCCAGCCCUGAUGGGAACAGAGGGGAACUGCAGCCACAAAGCCCAGCACUGCUGUGCCUGAGAGCAGAAAGGAUGACGGGAGCAGCGAGGCUCAAAGUCCCUGGAUCUGCAGUGCCACCUUUACCUGGGAACUUAUUAGACAUGAAUUCUCUGGCAUGGACCCACAUCUGCUGAAUGAGAAGCUCAAGGCGUGAGGUCCAGCACUGUAUUUUAACAAGAUCUCUGGGUGACUCUAAUGCAUGCCCAAACUUGAGAACCAUUUGAACAAAGCUAGAUUUGCUGUGGUAAAAACAAAAAACAAAAAAGCCCUAUGCUCAGUGGAGUAAAACAGCACAGGAAGAGUUUUUCCUCGUGCUACUUGUCCGCUAGGGGUAGGAGGAGGACUUUGCUCAUCACAGCACUCAGGCACCGUCUGGAAAUGGACUUAAAAGUUUACAACAAGCGAAGAAACAUUCAUUCAAAAAACUCUACUAAAACUUGUUAAGAAGAGAGUCUGUGGUGUUUAAAUAAGAUCCCCCCACCCUGACCCCCACUUCAGCAGGAUGGAACUUCCAUUCCAGGCUGGUGCAGCCCAGCACAGAGAGGUCCUGUCACUUUAGCUCCCAGGCAGGGGGCUGUCUUCCCAGAAGGGGCAGGGCAUCAACAUUUCUCAGGGCAUCAACAUUUCUCACCCUGGCUACCUGGUGCUGAGGCACUGUUCUGGGCAAGUGCGGCCAGCUUCCACUCCACCAUGGUUAUGGCACCACUGAGAAUAUUGGGCUCCAAUCCCCUUGCCCUGGCUUGCUAGGCAGAGGUUUCAUCCUGAAAGAAGACUUGAGGCUACUGCCCUUCCCCACUCAGCACUCACCUCCUGAAGCAGGGUUGUUACUCCGAGAGAAGCAUACUCCUGUCCCUAGUUCCAGCUCCAGAGUUAUGGCACAGAAAUUUUGCCAAUCUCUUCCCAAAGGAAUUGACUUCAUUUGUAGCAAAGUGUGGAGAAGCUCAAGCCUAGAGGUGCUUUCAAAAACAGUGGAGUUUGUGGUAGAAUGCAAGUGGGAAGAGAUUGGUAGAUUCAUUGGAGAGGUAAGCUAGCUAGUUUGUCAGAGAGAACCAGGCAAAGAGACAAUCGUAAGGAACCCUUCUGGGGUCAAAACGAAUCUCAAACACUGACCUGAGUAACUAUCCCUUCAAAGGAGUCCUUAUUUGAUUGGAUUAUGCCACAGGGCAUUGUUGUAAACAAUAGUGCAACUACCACUUAGAGGAUCUUAAGAGAUGGAUAUGGUCAGGGAAAGAGACAGUCAAAGACAGUUCUGCCAAAACCACUGUCAUUCCACAGUGAGUGUGGGCACAUCCAAGGCUUCACCCCUGAGGAGCAAUGCCAGAGGCUACACAUUAAGGAGAGAAGGUAGAAGAGACUUUAUUCAAUAAUCCAAUCAUUGGGAGUUCCCACUGUGGCUAGUGGUUAACAAUCUGAAUCUGACUGGAAACCAUGAGGUUGUGGGUUUGAUCCCCGGCCUCACUCAGUGGGUUAAGGAUCCUGCGUUGCCGUGAGCUGUGGUGUAGGUUGCAGAUGUGGUUCGGAUCCCGUGUUGCUGUGGCUCUGGCGUAGGCCGGUGGCUACAGCUCCGAUUCGACCCCUAGCCUGGGAAUCUCCAUAUGCCGCGGGAGCGGCCCUAGAAAUGGCAAAAAGACAAAUAAUAAUAAUAAUAAUAAUCCAAUCAUUGUACAACUAUAAGUGUAAUAAAACUGAGUUAAAAAAA